UUAAGCGACUAAGCGUACACGGUGGAUGCCCUGGCAGUCAGAGGCGAUGAAGGACGUGCUAAUCUGCGAAAAGCGUCGGUAAGGUGAUAUGAACCGUUAUAACCGGCGAUGUCCGAAUGGGGAAACCCAGUGCAAUUCGUUGCACUAUCGUUAACUGAAUACAUAGGUUAACGAGGCGAACCGGGGGAACUGAAACAUCUAAGUACCCCGAGGAAAAGAAAUCAACCGAGAUUCCCCAGUAGCGGCGAGCGAACGGGGAGCAGCCCAGAGUCUGAAUCAGCUUGUGUGUUAGUGGAACGGUCUGGAAAGUCCGACGGUACAGGGUGAUAGUCCCGUACACCAAAAUGCACAGGUUGUGAACUCGAAGAGUAGGGCGGGACACGUGGUAUCCUGUCUGAAUAUGGGGGACCAUCCUCCAAGGCUAAAUACUCCUGACUGACC
RNAcentral lists this ribosomal RNA (441 nucleotides) under Klebsiella pneumoniae. Its description in RNAcentral is "bacterial LSU rRNA". It matches the Rfam family "Bacterial large subunit ribosomal RNA", at positions 1 to 485 of the family's 2925-position model. The record is from RNAcentral. Lineage: Bacteria; Pseudomonadati; Pseudomonadota; Gammaproteobacteria; Enterobacterales; Enterobacteriaceae.